Non-coding RNA from Microcebus murinus (gray mouse lemur), 489 nucleotides. Lineage: Eukaryota; Metazoa; Chordata; Mammalia; Primates; Cheirogaleidae. The record is from RefSeq and is a predicted model, not a curated record.
CCUACUAUAUAGCUAAAUAAGAAAACUUAACCAAAUAAUUUCAUAAUUAAUUGUGUAUAUAUCUAUAUCUAAAACAGGGGCACCUGGUAUAAACGGAUGGGUCUACGAGAGCCUUUCUAGGAAAUGUCACACUGAAACACCUUUUAGAGCCUGAUCUGCCUCAUAUGUGCUGAUGAAAUUACGGCUGUGAACUCUGAGGCUGGAGACAGGUAGCAGAGAAGACGGAACAGCCACUUGGGACCAGUGACUUCCAGGUCAUCUGUCUGAAUGGAAAUGAAUUAUGGAUGGAAAAGGAAUCAGAAAUGAUAUGGAAAUGCAUUUUAAAUCUUUGUCAUUAUGAAAACAACUGCAAAUCAUAGCUGCAGAGGCCAAGGAGAAAAGUGGCUGGCCUUCUCACACCACUUUCCCAAAUUAAUUUUUAUCUUUCUUUUAAAGAAUAAAUUCCACAGUAAAAUGAAGUUUAACUUGUCAGUUAAAUAGUAAGUUAUU